Molecule: small nucleolar RNA, 134 nt
Organism: Balaenoptera musculus (blue whale)
Lineage: Eukaryota; Metazoa; Chordata; Mammalia; Artiodactyla; Balaenopteridae
Gene: SNORA80E
Product: small nucleolar RNA, H/ACA box 80E
Source: Ensembl
GCAUGGUAAUGGAUUUAUGGCGGGUCCUCUGUGGGCCUCUCAUAGUGUACCCAUGCCAGAGUAAACUGCAGCCUCGAACCAUUGCCCAGCCUCCUUACCAGUGGGCUGUGAGCACUGAAGGGGGUUGUAUAGUG